Molecule: transfer RNA, 77 nt
Filed under: Rhodospirillaceae bacterium
Lineage: Bacteria; Pseudomonadati; Pseudomonadota; Alphaproteobacteria; Rhodospirillales; Rhodospirillaceae
Also listed under: 1 other name
Description: tRNA-Arg
Rfam family: tRNA
About the family: Transfer RNA (tRNA) molecules are approximately 80 nucleotides in length. Their secondary structure includes four short double-helical elements and three loops (D, anti-codon, and T loops). Further hydrogen bonds mediate the characteristic L-shaped molecular structure. tRNAs have two regions of fundamental functional importance: the anti-codon, which is responsible for specific mRNA codon recognition, and the 3' end, to which the tRNAs corresponding amino acid is attached (by aminoacyl-tRNA synthetases). tRNAs cope with the degeneracy of the genetic code in two manners: having more than one tRNA (with a specific anti-codon) for a particular amino acid; and 'wobble' base-pairing, i.e. permitting non-standard base-pairing at the 3rd anti-codon position.
Source: RNAcentral
GGUUGCGUAACUCAGUUGGAUAGAGUGCGAAAUUCCUAAUUUCGAAGUCGCAGGUUCGAAUCCUGCCGUGACCACCA